RNAcentral lists this ribosomal RNA (471 nucleotides) under uncultured bacterium. RNAcentral's name for it is "bacterial SSU rRNA". It matches the Rfam family "Bacterial small subunit ribosomal RNA", at positions 329 to 792 of the family's 1533-position model. The record is from RNAcentral.
AUCCAGACUCCUACGGGAGGCAGCAGUAGGGAAUUUUCGUCAAUGGGCGCAAGCCUGAACGAGCAAUGCCGCGUGAACGAGGAAGGUCUUCGGAUCGUAAAGUUCUGUUGACGGGGAAAAAAGACCGGGAAAGGAAAUGAUCCCGGAGGAGAUAUUACCCGUCGAGGAAGUCACGGCUAACUCCGUGCCAGCAGCCGCGGUAAUACGGAGGAUGCGAGCGUUAUCCGGAUUUAUUGGGUUUAAAGGGUGCGUAGGCGGAAUGCCAAGUCAGCGGUAAACUCGGGGGGCUCAACCUCGCCCCGCCGUUGAAACUGGCGUUCUUGAGUGGGCGAGAAGUAUGCGGAAUGCGUGGUGUAGCGGUGAAAUGCAUAGAUAUCACGCAGAACUCCGAUUGCGAAGGCAGCAUACCGGCGCCCAACUGACGCUGAAGCACGAAAGCGUGGGUAUCGAACAGGAUUAGAUACCCCAGUA